UUAUAAAGGAAGUGUCUGAUUAGUCAUUUACUCAUUACGAAAUUAUUUUACAAAUUGCACUGCUAUUCUAUAUUCUACCCAGAAGUAAACUCAAUUAAACUGAAUGGGAUUUAUUCACAGAUACAUGAACAAGCAGAUGGCACUCCACUCUGCCAGACGGGAUCUGGAGCAUGUCUCCUGCUGGAUCUCAUAGAAUGGAUACAAACAAUUACAGAGAGACAGACAACUAUCAGCAACUCCUUAAAUCAGUUGUGCCUUUUUGGGGGGAUCAUGACACUGUCCUUUACAGCUACAAUGGGAUUCCAGGAAAACAUGUGUUUGAAAGAGAUGUUCCAUUCAGUAAGGUAGCCCUUUCCCAUUAAACCUAUAGUCCAACUAAUUAUGAACAUUGAGUAUCAGUUACACAACAAAAGGACUGGUUGUCUGAGGUACCGCCUCUCUCCCAUUUCUGCCAGUCUGGCAUGUGGGUGCUUAUUAAAUGUUGCCAUCUUGUGGGAUCAAAAAGGUGAGACUUCUCUUUUGUGUCCCACACACUUUGAACAGCAUCUCCCCUCAAGAAAUCAGGAUGGACCCCCCCCCCGGAGUUCUUGGAAGUCUUUAAAACUUGGUUCUCAACCUCAGGGCUAUGCUGUUAGGGGUGGACCCUGGCAUGUCAUGUGACUGGGUUUAGUUCAGGCCGUCUUGCCUUGUCCAUGUUGUUUUAACUAUGUAUUAGAUUACAAAAUCUAAAUCUAAAUCUGCCCAGAGUCUAUUGGAGUGGACAGCCAUAACAAGUUGAAAUAAAUGGAUAAACUCUCAAACCUCCUAGGUGUUGUUUUUUAAACAUUCAAACCAUCUGACUUAUUUAAAAGGCCCCAGUUUAUAAAUAAGUCAUUUUAAUUGAAAAGCCUUUUAUUAAAUACAACUAAGAUGAACCAAAUGCCCUCAAUUCAUACUUGCUACAUAUGUAGUAGAAGUUGCUUUAUUUAGGGUUCUAGGGUGCAUUGUUCUUUGGAAAUUGAGACAAAAAGAUUUCCUUUUUGUCACAAGUGAAAAUUUAGAAGGGGAGCGAUAAAAAAAAAGAAGAGAGAAAAGGGGGAUGAGAUUAGCAAUAAAAAUUUGAAAGUCAGAUGACCAGUUAGUAUCCGUAUCCUUUCUCAAAGCCUGUACAAAAAAAAUUGCACUGAAUUAUCCUCAAACUUCUAACAGCUAAAUUGAAUACUUGAAAAAAAUCCCAAAUUAUUUUAGUGACUCUACUGCUAAUGGAGUUAUAAGAAAAUUGUAAAUAUACCAUUUACAUUAACAAUAUCUUGUUGUAAUUUCAUUGAGUUUAACUGCAUUUCAUUUCAUUUUAAAGUAGUAGAGCAAAAAUUGUAUCUCUGGUACCUAGUAAGCUGAAAGAUAAGCAUUUUUCCCCAGGAAGAAUGGGUCCCCUAGUUUUUUCAAUAAAUUAAAAAUAUUUGCAGAAUGUGCAGAUGUGCAGAAUCAAGUCCUAAAUGUCUUGCAGUUUAUAGGGAAUAUUAUAUUACAAUAAUCUUUGGCAAAACCAGAAGACUCAGUGUUAUAAUAAAAUAGGAUAAUAAAAAGUACAGUAAUUCACAGAAGAGGCAAGUGUUUGGUAGAAGCGAGACAUCUGUUUCUUCCAGGAGACAGAAACAUAUAUUGUUGUCUCCCAUAUAUUUCAUUUUUCCACUCUGCAGAUUUAAGGAGAAAAUCCAUCUGUACAUCAGUUUCCUUAAAUUUAGUGAAGAGAUCCAACAGAACAUUUUGUUCUAUGAUGAACUGCUAAUGCUGAAUUGCUGUGUUUCUUUGUUUGGGAGGGAGGACAGGUUUUUUUUUUUAAUUAAACUCAACUGUUGUAAUAAAACUGAAAUAAAUUAGACAAUUUCCAGAGAAGGAAGAUUUAACACUGUUAACAGCCUUAUCUAACGGAUUUCCCCCCCCCUAUCUAAUAGAAAAAUGUAGCAUUAAAACAGGUGCUUUUACUGGUUUAUUACUGUACCGUUUCUCUACAGGUGAAUAAUUUUUCUAGAUCAAUAUGAACUGAAGCCUCCAUAAAAUAAGAACUUUUUUUUUCAGAAACAAUGCUUUGUUUUUAUAAAAAAAGAGCACAAUCUUUAUGCAUACUAAACCUAAAGCUGUGAGAACACUUCUCAUCAUGAAGUAUGAUUUUUUGUUGUUGUUAUUUGGCUUUAUAACUUUUUUGUUUGCUCAGACUGAGUCAAAUACAGACAUAUCACCAAGAGAUGUAUUUGUAAAUGGAUUUUACUAGCUGUUAGCAAUUCAUCUUUCAAUAGUCUCUUUUACUUCGUUAAUAUUCAAAAACCAUCUCAUCAUUACAUAUUUUCUGUGUCUGGACAUUUAGCUUCAGAAAAUUCAGUGGGACUUGCUUCUAAAUAAACAUGCUGGAGUAUUUGGCUGCAAAUAUACAAUGCUUUUCUUUAAGCAACAAAUAAAUUCCACUAAUUGAAUCCGCCUUUAACACAACAUUCCAAGUUCUGGCAUGUCCAUUAUCAAUAAGUCUUGCAUUUACACAUUCCUCUCUUCCUUAUACAUCCCAAUUCAUUCAGGUUCUUCUUCCUCAGUGCAAACAAUAGGCUGUCAUCACAUCUAACUAGCAAGCCAAUUUGUCAAUAAGUCCUGGGACAGCAGUACACAAGUACAAAGAAGACCAAAGAUCAUGCAGUUUGGCACUGCAACUCAGAAUUCUGAUUGGCAAACCUGAUUCUUCCACUUUAUUCUCACAAUGGAGCAGAUCUGGAAGACGUGAGGAGUGAAAUGAAGGCACACUUAUAUAAAUCAAAUUCUGGAUGCUCCUUGGCACCAGUUUUUCCACUAUCCUCCAACCUUACAAAGUGAUGAAGAAAUUUCCAAGUAUCACCUGAGGCCCACGUUCAUCCAACUGAAAAACUCUGCCUUAUCAAAACUUUUCUGCUGAUGGAAAUUUAUGCUGGACUCAAUCUUUAAACUGACAUUUUUCAAGAUGGAUUUUAUAUACUGAUAGGCCACGAGUUACAAAGGCAAGUGGGACGAAAUUUCGAUAAUCAAGCGACGUGAUUGUAAAGCUUAUUAGCCUGAAGAAAAGCCUUUCCUUCUCUUAUUUGACUCUGAGUUCAUCUUGUCUUAUAGCAGAGUAGGCUGCUGCAAUUUUCAGUUCCCCCUGUCCUCUAUUUCUGUAUUUUCCUUCUUCUAAUAAAAUCCAGGGCUGACAUACCUUUGGCAUUUUUGUGAGACAAGGGCUCCAUUGUCCCAUGUCCCUGAAACAGCAAUGCAGUCCUUUGCCUCUGAUCUGCCUUCCCAAUGGCCAAAGUUAAAAAUCAGAACUCUUCCACACUAACAAAUGAUAGUCUAAGCCAGCUGCCACUAGGGACCAACGAGAGAGAGAUUUUUCCACAGACAGAGGGGAUAUGGUUUUGCAUAUGCUGCCCGCAUCCUGCAGAUGGGGCUUUGCUUGUUGGCCCGGCCCAAUUUCUGGCAUGCUGUGGAUCGGUGCCAUUCCAUGGACCGGGGUGGGGACCCCUGGUCUAAGCCAUCACACCUGUCACCCUGAUUCCUAAAACAUAAUCUAACAUUUCCCCAACUGUUUGAAAACAGGAACAACAUUCCUAUGACUGAAUAUACAGAAAAAUACCUAAAGAUUAAAAACUGGCUGUCACUGAGAAGUGCUUUACCACAUACUGUUCUCUUUCAUAUUACUUUUUAAUGUGUAUGAGGAUUUCUUGUAUGCAGGAAUAGUCAGUAAAUCUCUCAUCCAUACACAGCAUCAUCAUUCAUAGUGAAAAUUAGACACAAAGUUUACCAUCACUCAACUUUCUAAAGUUAGUCAUCUACUUUCACUAGCACUUACC
Ahaetulla prasina is the source of this 3827-nucleotide long non-coding RNA. RefSeq lists it as uncharacterized. The transcript has 3 exons. Lineage: Eukaryota; Metazoa; Chordata; Lepidosauria; Squamata; Colubridae. The record is from RefSeq and is a predicted model, not a curated record.